RNAcentral lists this ribosomal RNA (507 nucleotides) under uncultured bacterium. RNAcentral describes it as "partial 16S ribosomal RNA". It matches the Rfam family "Bacterial small subunit ribosomal RNA", at positions 30 to 523 of the family's 1533-position model. The record is from RNAcentral.
AUUGAACGCUGGCGGCAGGCCUAACACAUGCAAGUCGAGCGGUAACACAGAGGAGCUUGCUCCUUGGGUGACGAGCGGCGGACGGGUGAGUAAUGCCUGGGGAUCUGCCCGAUCGAGGGGGAUAACUACAGGAAACUGUAGCUAAUACCGCAUAAUGUCUACGGACCAAAGUGGGGGCUCUUCGGAUCUCAUGCAAUCGGAUGAACCCAGGUGGGAUUAGCUAGUUGGUGAGGUAAUGGCUCACCAAGGAGACCGUCUCUAACUGGUUUGAGAGAAUGACCAGUCACACUGGAACUGAGACACGGUCCAGACUCCUACGGGAGGCAGCUGUGGGGAAUAUUGCACAAUGGGCGCAAGCCUGAUGCAGCCAUGCCGCGUGUGUGAAGAAGGCCUUCGGGUUGUAAAGCACUUUCAGCGGGGAGGAAGGGCUACUAGUUAAUACCUAGUGGCAUUGACGUUACUCGCAGAAGAAGCACCGGCUAACUCCGUGCCAGCAGCCGCCAGUAA